Molecule: long non-coding RNA, 856 nt
Organism: Oreochromis niloticus (Nile tilapia)
Lineage: Eukaryota; Metazoa; Chordata; Actinopteri; Cichliformes; Cichlidae
Exons: 3
Source: RefSeq, a predicted model, not a curated record
GCUUCUUCAUCUUCAUCUUGUUUUGAAUCCUUUUACUCCAGUUCAAGUUAACUCACAGACAGGCAGGUUAUGGCGAUGGCCUUCGUCACUGCAUAAGGGUCACAGUUUGCUGCGGGACGGCGGUCCUCAAAGUACCCUUUCUUCUCUUGCCCCACCUGCCGCGGGAUGCGGAUGCUGGCACCUCGGUUGGCCACUCCGGCAGAGAAGUCGUGGAUGCUGGAGGUUUCGUGGAGACCUCCCCGUUCCAGUUGCCCUUCAUCGGUUUAGGGUCCAGCGUUGCUACAACCCCGAAAUCUUCACAGACACGAUGCAAAAGGAAACGUGCGACCCACAAAUGGUCCCCCAUCUCGAUGCCCUCACAGGGGCCCACCUGGAACUCCCACUGAAGCCAGAGAAAAAGAAAGAUGCAGAGAAAAGAGGGAAAUGUUUGAGGUGAAAACAUGUUUGAGAAUAACCGUUUAUAAUAACCACUGUUAAUAAAUGAUAAGUUUAGUUAACUGCAAUUUGAUAGUUUUUUGACUGUUAGAAAACAAAGAAAUUAUAAUGAGUAACAUUUGCUAAUGGCCCAGUAUUUGCUUGGAAAUCACUUGUGAAUUAUAUUUAUAUUUCAUAUUUACCUGUGUAUUAUAUUUCAGUUUUUUGAGUUCAUCACAGUUUUCUGUGUUAUUGAGCUCAUUUUUCUCUGAAGAAUUUUGUUUUGUAAUAUUGUUUUUAUAUUUUUUAGGUAGGUUGUUUUUAAUGUUUUGGCUACUGUAACAGAGUAUUUUCCCAAGUUCUGGGAUAAAUAGCUUGUCUUAUAAAUGUGUCAUAUGUUUGUAAUAUAUAACAAUAUUUAGUCAUCGUGUUGUAUCGAAUU